RNAcentral lists this long non-coding RNA (833 nucleotides) under Parus major (Great Tit). Its description in RNAcentral is "lncRNA (ENSPMJG00000015121.1)". Lineage: Eukaryota; Metazoa; Chordata; Aves; Passeriformes; Paridae. The record is from RNAcentral.
AUUACCUUUUUUUUUUUAGUUUAUUUUGCCUUUAUAAAAUAAUAAUAAUAAUAAUAAUAAUAAUAAUAAUAAUAAUAAUAAUAAUAAUAGUAGUAGUAGUAGUAGUAGUAGUAGUAGUAGCAGUAGUAGCAGUAGUAGUAGUAGUAGUAGAGGAUCAAUUAAAUAGCAAAGAAGUAUAGUUUACUCCACAAUUAACAAAUUAUAUAAGCAUGUCUUCUGGGCUACUGAUUUUCCUUUAGAAGAAACUGAACAUUUUAGUCUCAGAUAAAACGAUUGCAGGAGGUUAAACAGGCCACAGGAGGCUCCUUGUUCAGUUCAAAUUUCAGCUAGUAAAGUUAAGCAGAAAAAAACCUUGCCAACUUUUAUGCCAGAUUAAUCCACUUAACUGCUGGUUACUUCACAUUGCCUACUUCAUUUUGAUUCACUAAGUGUUUGAAGUUUUCCAUCUCCUUUCCUGUAGAUGUGUUACUGGAGUUUGAAUGCUCUGAGGAAGGGAAGCCAUGAAUUUUUGCAUGCGGGCUCUGACUUGUUGCAUAUCUUUCAAGCAAACUUUAGGAAUCGAGCUGUACACAUGUAAGGAGCCCCUGAGACAGAUGGAGGCAGACAAGUAACGAUCACAAGCUGAAUAUGCAUCACUCUUCUUAACUCUGGCAGGAGCUUCACCACAAAUCCAUCACCACACUGCUGCAUAUGCAGUGAGCUGGACAAGGCCCUGGCUGUAGCUGAUCUGUAUAUACUCCAGCCAUGAGAUUAUCUUGGAUGCUCAGAGACAGAAGGUGAGGAAGUGUGACCAUUGUUGAGGGUGAAGAGGCAUUGUGGGUAGAAACCUGGUG